This 61-nucleotide transfer RNA is filed under the name Haemaphysalis flava. RNAcentral describes it as "tRNA-Thr". Lineage: Eukaryota; Metazoa; Arthropoda; Arachnida; Ixodida; Ixodidae. The record is from RNAcentral.
GUUAAAAUAAUUUAAUUAAAAAUAUUGGUUUUGUAAACCAAAAUUGGUAAUCCUUUUAGCA